UUUUCGUGUAAGAUUUAAGGACCACUAUAGGAACCCAGACCACUUCAGCUUAAGUGGUCUGGGUUCCUAUAGUGGUCCUUUAAUCUUACACGAAAGA
Pelobates cultripes (western spadefoot toad) is the source of this 97-nucleotide non-coding RNA. The record is from the annotation of a GenBank genome assembly. NCBI's taxonomy places the organism in Eukaryota, Metazoa, Chordata, Amphibia, Anura, Pelobatidae.